Molecule: long non-coding RNA, 225 nt
Filed under: Pelobates cultripes (western spadefoot toad)
Lineage: Eukaryota; Metazoa; Chordata; Amphibia; Anura; Pelobatidae
Source: RNAcentral
CUACUCGCUGCAAAAUCUCGUGGUCACUACUCUAUCCUAAUUCUCCUUGACCUGUCUGCGGCUUUUGACACUGUUGAUCAUCAACAGCUUCUUCUCAUCCUCCGCAAUAUCGGUCUACAAGAUACUGCUCUCUCCUGGUGCUCCUCCUACCUCUCCCAGAGCUCUUUCAGUGUUUCUUUCUCUGGCUCUGCUUCUUCUCCCCAACUCCUCUCUGUUGGUGUCCCC